AUGCCGCCACACCUCUUCGCUCUGCUGCCACCGUGUCGUUACUCUGCUGCUCCAACACCCGUCGUCGCCCCGUCGCACUCGCGCCGCCGUCCCUCCGUCCCCUGUUUCAAAUCGAAACACGUUGUAUCAAUAAGUUAAUAUCUUCAGCGUUUCAGAGAUGUCAAUUAUCGGAGAAGAUAUGCAGACUCUCGAUGAUUCUCGCUUGAUCUACGUCUUCCUCUCUUCGAGUCUCAAGUAAUGAGCACAUACCUUUAUAUUAGUGUGAUUUAUAAUUUCUAAUUGUUCCUCUCUUUAAUUUCUAUUGAUGCUUGUAAAACAGAUGGAAUUCUUUCUAUCAAAACCAUGAGUAAGUUUUUGAUGUUCUUGUUAUGGUUAGUUUUGCUUCGAUUUCACUAAAUAUAUGCACACACGUCAAGCGAAAAUUGGAAAAGAGAUAGCUAUUUUCUUAUCUGCGUCAUUAUCAGAGGUAAUAUGCAAGCCUUCUGUAUAAGCCUCCAAGCAAAAUUGUUUUACUCUUAAGUACGUGUUGUUUGAACUCCUCAAUUUUCAUCAACCAUGUGGAUAAGGUGCUAUUUUAAUUGUUCUACAUCGUGGCUUAACAUUGAAAUAGAUUCCAAUUAUUUAAUAGCGUUAUUGUGUUGAAUAUAUUUGUGCUACUUUUAGUUUAUGCUACUAUGUACCGGUGCUGCCAUCUUGGUUUAUGUAGUUUUUUUUAAAGAAAUUUGAUUUCUAUCAAAUGUUCUUAAAGAAAUUUGAGUCCUUGAAAAUCCAUUUUUGCUUGUCCUUGGGAACUCCAGGUCUAAUGUAUACAACUUUGGAGUAAUAUUAUGGGAACCUACAACCGAAAAGAUCCCUUGGGAUAAUCUCAACUCAAUGCAGGAACAUUGCAGGUGAUUGGAGCCGUGGGGUUCAUGGAUCAGCGACUUGAAAUUCCAAAAGAUGUUGAUCACGAUGGGCUUCUAUAAGGAAGUGAAACAUCAUUAGCAAAAGUAUCAAAUAUGCUCUCUUAAAAUAUAUGUGGGAGCAUAAUUUGGAAAGCUUUUAGCUUCACAACAAUCAACAGUGACAGGGGAGUUGAAUUUGAAGGUGUUGUUACAGAACUAGUCCAUGUUCUUAUUACUAGCCCAUGUUAAACAAUGCUUUUGUAGAAACACCAAGUGACGAUGAAUGGAUAGAGGAACUCAAACAUGGGAAGGGAACUGAAUCUCUAUAUAGUUACUGCUGCAGUUUAUGGUGGAAUGUGCAUGGGGGUAUUAACUGUGCUUGGAGACUUGAUGAUGGGUCUAUUUGGCACAGGAGCUGAGAUCAUGCUUGCUGCUACCAUCUUUUAUGAGUUGUCUGAGGCAUUAGAGAACGAACAUGACCUCUGAACUUGGCUUUUAGGAACUAGUUUCUUUCUUGAUUGGAAACUAGCUUACAGUUAGUUUAGUUAGUUAGCCUUCUUGUAAUAACAAUUGAUUUCACUAGUUUAUGUAUUUGGAUAUUUGGAUUUUGUUUGCAGGUUUUGAUGCCUAUACCGAAGCCAACAGGUUAUGCAGGAGACGAUCCUUAUAAAAUUUGGCAAUGGCUUUCGAGUUUGCAAGCAUGUUGUGUGGUGUUUCCUCCUCAGAAUGACGGUGGCAGAUGCUAUCACAAUACUCAAGUCCUUUGUUCCCAUGCCCAUGAGCUUCAAUAACCUUUCUUCUCUCUCUCUCUUCUUCUACAAGAAAGAAGAGCCUUCAAUUCAUAUUUCCAGGUCAAAUAUACCAACAUUCACAAUUUCUUCUUCUUGUUUUUUCCAAUUGUUUUGAAUAUGGUAGAAAUAUUUUUGAAUAUAAUGAAUGGGUUGUUAGAUAGGAAACCGUGUUUGAAUUUAUAGCUACACUGUUACUAAUGCGUGCCACAUGUUUGAUCAAAGUUCUUAGUGAGUAAUAGAAAAUAUGAUGCUUUUCUAUUUUAUUUAUUUAUUUGUUCAUAUGUAUAUAUAAAAUUAGUAGUUAAAUAGAUUUGAAUUACUGUGA
Non-coding RNA from Arachis ipaensis, 2000 nucleotides. Lineage: Eukaryota; Viridiplantae; Streptophyta; Magnoliopsida; Fabales; Fabaceae. The record is from RefSeq and is a predicted model, not a curated record.